CUUUGUAUCAUGCGUAUCCGACAUAUGUGACUACGCAUAUUAUCUGUUCAUUAGAUACAAUAGACAAUACCAAGAACUUCGAUUCGUAGGAAUCCAAUUUAAUUGCGUCGAUUGGAAAUUCCAUAAUGCCUUGAUGAAUAAGACAUUAAGAAAUACAUACACAUGUAGCAUGUGGAGGAAGAAGGGAGAGUGCAUGUCGAAAAUAGAUAACAGUGUUGCAUCCCAAUCUCUACGCUACUGUGUAAUAUUGUAUAGUUGUCCCUAAACUCUCUAUGUAUGUAGUCUCUUCUAGUGCUAACAAUAAGUGGUACCACUCUAUUACUUCGGGUCGUGUAACGAAGUCGUGUAGUGGUAUCUGGACUGGUGCGGGUAGUGGUAGUGGUGACUGGCGACUGGUGACUGGUGACGGUGACGGGACCGAUCGAUGCAAUUAGUUUGUUGGCGACUUUCGCGACCAUCGCACCGAUCGUUUCUGUUUUUUUCUUUUAGUUGUUUCAGCUUUCUUUGAGUUACAUUUCUUCUUCGAUUCUAUCGAAUCGUAACGUACUAAUUCUUAAUUUUGGGUAAUAUUAACGAAAUGUUCAAAUAACAUUUAUGUUUCGAAUACGCCGUAUGUCUCUCUAAAACAUAUCAAUUUGAUAGAUUAGUCAUACUUGUGUGAUACGCUUUUGAUUAACACGUUGCUUGAUCAACAUAACGUUGACAGACUUUGAUUCUUCCGUCGUUCCUGUCCAAUUGGAAUAGUUCCUAAUGUUAAUGUAAUCCAGCGAUUCGUAUUUAGACACAUCCCGUCGAUAAAUCAUGCAGAAUAGUUAUGUUAUCGAACACGACAAUGAUUCAACGAUCACGACGGUGUCACAUGAGAGAACACAGGAAGCACAAAACAAUGUUAAAGCGACGGAAAACACGUUGUUAACACCCACCAAUAAACAAGCAUACUUCGCCGAUCAAAAAAUUCCAAUACCAGAAGCAGAAACCGGUUUCUUUAGUUUCAGAAAAUUAUGGGCCUUUACAGGUCCUGGAUUUUUAAUGUCUAUAGCUUACUUGGAUCCUGGGAAUAUAGAGUCCGAUUUACAGUCUGGAGUAGCAGCAAAAUAUAAGUUACUAUGGGUAUUAUUAAGUGCAACAAUUUUGGGUCUUGUUAUGCAAAGGUUGAGUGCCAGGCUCGGCGUUGUAACUGGUUUACAUUUAGCCGAGAUGUGUUAUAGACAAUAUAAGCUAGUACCUAGACUAAUAUUGUGGAUAAUGAUGGAGAUAGCCAUUAUUGGUAGCGACAUGCAAGAAGUAAUAGGCACGGCCAUUGCCCUAUCUUUAUUGACAAAUAAAGCAAUACCUAUAUGGGGCGGUGUACUCAUUACUGUGGUAGACACUUUUACAUUUUUAUUGUUAGACAAAUAUGGUUUGAGAAAAUUGGAAUUCUUUUUUGGACUUCUCAUUACCAUAAUGGCUGUUACUUUUGGUUACGAGUACAUUAUCUCUGCGCCGCCUCAAGGUGAAGUAAUGGAAGGCAUGUUUCUACCCUGGGAUACAACCUACGAUAGCGAUACAUUAUUACAGGCUGUAGGAAUUGUUGGUGCAGUUAUAAUGCCACAUAAUUUAUACCUUCACAGUGCAUUAGUGAAAUCGAGAGAUAUCGAUCGUAGGGAACCGAAGAAAGUGAGGGAAGCAAAUAUGUAUUAUUUUGUUGAAGCUUGCAUAGCAUUGUUCGUUUCUUUUAUCAUAAACGUAUUUGUUGUAUCAGUUUUUGCGUAUGGACUUUAUAAUAAAACAAAUGAAGAAGUUUAUGAAGUAUGCGAGGCUCAUAAUUACACUUUAGGAAUGGAAACAUUUACGAAGGGCAACGAGACCAUUUCAGUAGACCUUAAUAAAGGUGGCAUAUAUCUUGGUUGUGCCUUUGGUGCCACAGCAAUGUACAUUUGGGCUGUAGGUAUCUUUGCCGCUGGUCAGUCUUCUACGAUGACAGGCACGUACGCUGGACAGUUUGCAAUGGAAGGAUUUUUGAAUCUUCAGUGGGCUCGUUGGAAGCGAGUCCUUUUUACUAGAAUGAUAGCCAUUAUUCCCACUUUUCUCGUAGCAUUUUUCAGCCACAUAGACAAUUUAACUGAAAUGAAUGACAUCUUAAAUGCCGUUAUGACGCUUCAGUUACCUUUUGCAACCUUGCCAACUAUAGCAUUUACGAGCAGCUCACAGAUAAUGGGCGAAUUUCGAAAUGGAUUAGGAAACAAAAUUGUUGCGACGGCAUUGUCUGGGCUAGUGAUAACUAUAAAUAUAUAUUUUGUCAUAAAUACAGUGAAACCGGAUCAUUGGGCAAAAAUAUUGGGAAUCACAAUAUACUCCAUCUUAUAUCUUCUAUUUUGUCUUUACUUGAUCAUUCAUAUGGCUGUUAGUAUGGGUGCAACUUCUCUUGGCGACCAUUGGUUUGUAAGAAAAUAUAUUGGUAGUCCCGUAACUACAACGCUUGGAUUAUCAAACCCAACUAUAUAUGCAAGUUUCUUCAAUGUAUCAGAAACAUCUUUAAGUACAUAAAUGAGUUUGACUUGUGAUACUAUUUUAUUCGAGACGCCUUCUUCCAAAUAUAAAAAGUGUGUCUAUUUGAAAACCAUUCAAGAUCAUCCAAUUUCAACGUAGCAUCGCAUAUGAUCAAAUCCAGCAUUCAAUAUUCAAGAAAACGGGAAUGGCAACUUUAGCACGAUACCAGAUUAUUGAUAAAUGAUCAAUAUCGCAU
Non-coding RNA from Megalopta genalis, 2725 nucleotides. Lineage: Eukaryota; Metazoa; Arthropoda; Insecta; Hymenoptera; Halictidae. The record is from RefSeq and is a predicted model, not a curated record.